This 406-nucleotide ribosomal RNA is filed under the name uncultured bacterium. Its description in RNAcentral is "partial 16S ribosomal RNA". It matches the Rfam family "Bacterial small subunit ribosomal RNA", at positions 28 to 526 of the family's 1533-position model. The record is from RNAcentral.
GAUGAACGCUAGCUACAGGCUUAACACAUGCAAGUCGAGGGACCGGCGCACGGGUGAGUAACACGUAUCCAACCUGCCCUUUACUCGGGGAUAGCCUUUCGAAAGAAAGAUUAAUACCCGAUAUAAAGGAUGGGGAUGGGUUGCAUUAGGUUGUUGGUGAGGUAACGGCUCACCAAGCCUUCGAUGGAUAGGGGUUCUGAGAGGAAGGUCCCCCACAAUGGAACUAAGACACGGACCAAACUCCUACGGGGGGCAGCAGUAGAGAGUAUUUGUCAAGGGGCGCUAGCCUGAACCAGCCAAGUAGCGUGAAGGAGGAAGUCGUAUGGGUCUUAUACUUCUUUUAUAGAAGAAUAUGUAUUAUAUGAAUAAGGAUCGGCUAACUCCGUGCCAGCAGCCGCGGUAAUUC